AGUGAACGCUGGCGGUAGGCCUAACACAUGCAAGUCGAACGGCAGCACAGUAAGAGCUUGCUCUUACGGGUGGCGAGUGGCGGACGGGUGAGGAAUACAUCGGAAUCUAAUUUUUCGUGGGGGAUAACGUAGGGAAACUUACGCUAAUACCGCAUACGACCUACGGGUGAAAGCAGUGGAUCUUCGGACCUUGCGCGACUGAAUGAGACGAUGUCGGAUUAGCUAGUUGGCGGGGUAAAGGCCCACCAAGGCGACGAUCCGUAGCUGGUCUGAGAGGAUGAUCAGCCACACUGGAACUGAGACACGGUCCAGACUCCUACGGGAGGCAGCAGUGGGGAAUAUUGGACAAUGGGCGCAAGCCUGAUCCAGCCAUACCGCGUGGGUGAAGAAGGCCUUCGGGUUGUAAAGCCCUUUUGUUGGGAAAGAAAAGCAGCAGAUUAAUACCCCGCUGUUCUGACGGUACCCAAAGAAUAAGCAACGGCUAACUUCGUG
Molecule: ribosomal RNA, 492 nt
Filed under: uncultured bacterium
Lineage: Bacteria
Description: partial 16S ribosomal RNA
Rfam family: Bacterial small subunit ribosomal RNA
Source: RNAcentral